GACAAUCUGGCCGAGUGGUUAAGGCGGCAGACUCGAAAUCUGCUGGGUUCGCCCGCACAGGUUCAAAUCCUGUGGUUGUCG
RNAcentral lists this transfer RNA (81 nucleotides) under Cladophialophora immunda. RNAcentral's name for it is "tRNA-Ser (CGA) (tRNA-Ser-CGA-1-1)". It matches the Rfam family "tRNA". From Rfam's summary of the family: Transfer RNA (tRNA) molecules are approximately 80 nucleotides in length. The record is from RNAcentral. Lineage: Eukaryota; Fungi; Ascomycota; Eurotiomycetes; Chaetothyriales; Herpotrichiellaceae.